UAUGUAUUAAAACUUUAUCAGUACUCUUCUCUAGUUCUCUUUAUAUUUGGUUGCCUUCUUUAGAAUCAUAUCCUUCAUAGCUUCCUACAACAAUGUUUAACUAAUUUUCAUUUUCUUGCAACAAUUUUCUGUGUACAAGCUAGCUAAGUGCAUGGCCAUCUCCGAAAACUCAAUCAAAAUUCAUUGCUGCAGAACUAUUUCAAGUGUUUUCUUCAUGGCCUUCUUCAUCUGUUUGUUCUUGAGCUGUAGUAGUGGUGCUUCCUCAGUGAUCCCCAGUAAUUUCCAAAGACAGAGGCAGUUGCUUUCACAAACUAAGGCUCAUUCUUCGCGUUCAGUAUCAUCAUCGUCGUUGGCUAGGGUCAAGAAAUGCAAUUAUUUUGGAAAAUGCAAAGUGCAGUUUGAAGGUGAUGAGCACGCGGUUCCCAGUGGACCAAACCCUAUAUCUAACAGGUAAUGAUAAAUUAGAUCAAGAAGUUAUGAGUUUUCUACGCGUGAGAGAAGAUUUUGGCUUUACACUCGGUAUUUGGUGAUUGUUAUAGGCCUAGAUUGAGAUCUCAGCUUGUAAAUGAGCUCAGAUCAAAGUAAGUCAGGCUCCAUAUAUGGUUGUUACUAUUAUCAAGAUUUAAGGUACUGUGAUCUCAGCUGGUAGAUGAGUUUGAAUCUCAUCAGAGACGAUUUGGUAAUUAAUCAUCGUUACAGAGAAUAUUCAUGGCCUUAUUAUCUUGUAAUAUAGUUCGGAUUAUGAAUGAGAGUAUUUGAAUUUAGCAACUACUGUUUGUAAUUAUAAUACUUGCACAAUAGUAUAUAAUAUUAUAAUCAAACUUAAUUUGUGCUUGUUUGAUAAUUUAUGCGCGAUUUCAAGGCGAUUAGUUGCUAGUAUCAGUCCUUUAUGCGCAAUUUUAAGGCGUUCUUGCAUGCACAGAGCUGGUCUUAUAGUGUUCAGAUCAAAUUUCUCAGAACUAUAAGUAUACUGGAUCCAUGUCCAAGUAUCCGUGUCGAAUCAUUAUGUGUGUGUUUAUUCAAGAUAAUUAAUCGAUAUGGAUGCUAAGACGAUAGCAGCAGGGAGCUGAUAAUAAUGAGUAGUACUGGAGUCAGAAUCUGAUGCUACUGCUGCAUUUCAAAGUGAGCAAGAAUCGCCUCACUCAAUCACUAGUUUUUUGCUUUAUUUUGUUUGACUUUGCUUUUUCUGAUCAUCAAUCAACUUAAAUAUUCCAGUAUAGCAUAGCCUAUUUGACAUCCAUGAGUUUGAGGGCUCCUCACUUGCCAGAAAAUUUGAAUACCUGGAUGCUCAAAUAUUCCAAAUGUCUUGUAAAAAAUUUAUAGGCUUUACUUUUUAGCGAUUUAUCGCUUAUUUCAUUUUCAACUGGA
This 1368-nucleotide long non-coding RNA is filed under the name Daucus carota (carrot). Its description in RNAcentral is "long non-coding RNA (DCAR_LNC000871)". Lineage: Eukaryota; Viridiplantae; Streptophyta; Magnoliopsida; Apiales; Apiaceae. The record is from RNAcentral.